CCUACGGGUGGCAGCAGUGGGGAAUAUUGGGCAAUGGGCGCAAGCCUGACCCAGCCAUGCCGCGUGAACGAUGAAGGUCCAUAGGAUUGUAAAGUUCUUUUGUCCGGGGAUAACGGUGGAGUCGCUCCACUUUGAAGGUACCGGAUGAAUAAGCAUCGGCCAACUACGUGCCAGCAGCCGCGGUAAUACGUAGGAUGCAAGCGUUGUCCGGAUUUACUGGGUUUAAAGGGUGUGUAGGCGGGCUGGUAAGUCGAAGAUGAAAUUCCGGAGCUUAA
This 275-nucleotide ribosomal RNA is filed under the name uncultured bacterium. RNAcentral describes it as "partial 16S ribosomal RNA". It matches the Rfam family "Bacterial small subunit ribosomal RNA", at positions 338 to 612 of the family's 1533-position model. The record is from RNAcentral.